AACCGCGGUUAAACGAAUGGCCCUAGUUGAUAUAGCCACGGCGUAAAGGGUGGUUAGGAGAAACAAUAAUAAAGUAAAAUGGCCCCUCGGCUGUCAUACGCUUCUGGGAGCCCGAAAUCCAAACACGAAAGUUACUUUAAACAAAAUAUCCGACCCCACGAAAACUGAGAAA
This 172-nucleotide ribosomal RNA is filed under the name Rasbora bunguranensis. Its description in RNAcentral is "partial 12S rRNA". The record is from RNAcentral. Lineage: Eukaryota; Metazoa; Chordata; Actinopteri; Cypriniformes; Danionidae.